CGGCGUUAAUAUAUGACCCGAUUAGCAGCUUCCGGGAAACCAAAGUUUUUCGUUUCCGGGGGAAGUAUGGUUGCAAAGCUGAAACUUAAAGGAAUUGACGGAAGGGCACCACCAGGAGUGGAGCCUGCGGCUUAAUUUGACUCAACACGGGAAAACUCACCCGGCCCGGACACCGUAAGGAUUGACAGACUGAGAGCUCUUUCUUAAUUCGGUGGGUGGUGGUGCAUGGCCGUUCUUAGUUGGUGGAGCGAUUUGUCUGGUUAAUUCCGAUAACGAACGAGACUCUGGCCUAUUAAAUAGACGAUAUAUUUAAAAGUAUAUCGCGCUUCUUAGAGGGACAAGCGGCGUCUAGCCGCAUGAAAUAGAGCAAUAACAGGUCUGUGAUGCCCUUAGAUGUCCGGGGCUGCACGCGCGCUACACUGAAAGAAUCAGUGUGCGUUACGCCUAGUUCGGAAGAACCGGGUAACCCAAGUAAAUUCUUUCGUGCUUGGGAUAGGGAAUUGCAAUUAUUUCCCUUAAACGAGGAAUUCCCAGUAAAUGCGGGUCAUAAGCUCGCGUUGAUUACGU
Molecule: ribosomal RNA, 567 nt
Filed under: Aporcelaimellus sp. GSb11
Lineage: Eukaryota; Metazoa; Nematoda; Enoplea; Dorylaimida; Aporcelaimidae
Also listed under: 1 other name
Description: SSU rRNA
Rfam family: Eukaryotic small subunit ribosomal RNA
Source: RNAcentral